Molecule: microRNA precursor, 104 nt
Filed under: Pelobates cultripes (western spadefoot toad)
Lineage: Eukaryota; Metazoa; Chordata; Amphibia; Anura; Pelobatidae
Source: RNAcentral
AGAUAGAAAAUAGAGCAAAGAGACCUAGUUAUAGAUCUAAAUAGAAAAAUCUAUUUUUCUAUUUAGAUCUAUAACUAGGUCUCUUUGCUCUAUUUUUUCCUCUC